GUCCACGCCGUAAACGAUGGGCACUAGGUGUUCGGGGUAUUGACCCCCUGAGUGCCGCAGCUAACGCAUUAAGUGCCCCGCCUGGGGACUACGGCCGCAAGGCUAAAACUCAAAGGAAUUGACGGGGGCCCGCACAAGCGGUGGAGCAUGUGGUUUAAUUCGACGCAACGCGAAGAACCUUACCUGGGCUAGACAACAUCGGACAGCCCCAGAAAUGGGGUUUCCCCGCAAGGGGCCGGUGGUUCAGGUGCUGCAUGGCUGUCGU
This 265-nucleotide ribosomal RNA is filed under the name uncultured bacterium. RNAcentral describes it as "partial 16S ribosomal RNA". It matches the Rfam family "Bacterial small subunit ribosomal RNA", at positions 793 to 1055 of the family's 1533-position model. The record is from RNAcentral.